RNAcentral lists this ribosomal RNA (538 nucleotides) under Oreolalax major (common lazy toad). RNAcentral describes it as "partial large subunit ribosomal RNA". It matches the Rfam family "Bacterial large subunit ribosomal RNA", at positions 1855 to 2610 of the family's 2925-position model. The record is from RNAcentral. Lineage: Eukaryota; Metazoa; Chordata; Amphibia; Anura; Megophryidae.
ACGCCUGCCCAGUGACAAUUUGUUUAACGGCCGCGGUAUUCUGACCGUGCGAAGGUAGCGUAAUCACUUGUCUUUUAAAUAGAGACUAGUAUGAAUGGCAUCACGAGGACUUAACUGUCUCCCCCCUCCAAUCAGUGAAACUGAUCUCCACGUACAAAAGCGUGGAUAAACUCAUAAGACGAGAAGACCCUAUGGAGCUUAAAACCAAAAACCACCUAUUUAACCUACUAUAUUAAUAUAUUACUAAAAUAAUAGGCCUAGUUUAGGUUUUCAGUUGGGGUGACUGUGGAGAAAAAUUAAUCCUCCAUGUAGACUUAAGCUUAGAGCAACCGCUCCAUGCAUUAGCAAGCCUAACUUUACUUGAUCCAAUAUUUUGAUCAACGGACCAAGUUACCCUAGGGAUAACAGCGCAAUCCAUUUCAAGAGUUCAUAUCGACAAAUGGGUUUACGACCUCGAUGUUGGAUUAGGACAUCCAAGUGGUGCAGCCGCUACUAAGGGUUCGUUUGUUCAACGAUUAAAGUCCUACGUGAUCUGAUU